GGCAAGAUGGCCGAGCGGUCUAAGGCGCUAGGGUCAGGUCUAUCUGAUCAUACAUGUUCUCAAGAACAUUCCUAGUCAUUAAUUUGGCGUGGGUUCGAAUCCCACUCUUGUCA
This is a non-coding RNA of Aspergillus ellipticus CBS 707.79, 113 nucleotides long. Lineage: Eukaryota; Fungi; Ascomycota; Eurotiomycetes; Eurotiales; Aspergillaceae. The record is from the annotation of a GenBank genome assembly.